Long non-coding RNA from Cynoglossus semilaevis (tongue sole), 2190 nucleotides. RefSeq lists it as uncharacterized. NCBI's taxonomy places the organism in Eukaryota, Metazoa, Chordata, Actinopteri, Pleuronectiformes, Cynoglossidae. The transcript is spliced from 6 exons. The record is from RefSeq and is a predicted model, not a curated record.
AAGUUAUAUGGUGAAGACUGAAGAUAGAAGAUCUACAGAUUUCCUUUCAUAGCAUGCAGCCAACGAGUUUCACGGUUUGCGGAGGUCUUUGGAUGGUUGUGGAGAGGACAGAGACUUCAAUAAACCCGUUGAAGAAAUCACUUGCGUCUGCACAUGCUUGGGAGGGAGUCACACUAACAAAGCAGUAUAGAAAGAGUAACAAUGCUAACAUUGAUCACAGCAGCAUGUUGUAUGUUUGACCUCACUGUCAUGAACUUGAAUGUGCUGCUCAUAUACAGUAUUUACACAAACCAUGUCAUCUGUUUACCCACUUGUCUUUCAGGCUACCUGAGCCUGUAUGUGGUCUAUGUGUUGACUGUUAUCAUCAGUGCUUACAUCUACAACCGGCAGAAGUAUUCAGUGAGCUCAGAUUUUCCAAAUGAGCCUCAAAUUCCAGAGUACAGGCUACUUCUUCCAUACUCAGAGUCCACCAGUCACAUCCUGCUGAGGAGGAAGACGUGGUGGAGGUGGAGAGUCUUCAAAAUUUUAAAGACUCCUCUGGAGGUUCUGCUGCUGCUCUGCAUCCCUGUCGUCAACCCAGACAAAGAAGACAAGAACUGAAGACGUCCCCUAAACUGCCUCCACCUCAUCACUGCUCCACUGGUGUCUGUGCUCACCUUCCAGUCGGCAGCAUAUGGAACCAACAUGAUCCAAUGACAGUUCCCUCUCUGGCUCUUUACUCUGUUGUUGGGAGUAUUUCUAUCUGCCAUAGUUUUCUGCUCCACCACCAAUGACUGCCCUCCUAAAUAUCACUCACUCUUUGCUCUCUUCGGGUUCAUAGUCAGUGCAGUGUUGAUCAGUGCAAUGGCCUCUGAAGUGGUCAGUCUUCUGCACAUGCUUGGUGUGGUGCUGAGCCUCAGUAACACUGUGCUGGAGCUCACACUGUUGGCCUGGGGCAUAGCAGGUGAUAUUAAUGCAACUCUAUGUCCUGACAUAAAUGUUUCUGUACCUUACAGAUUUCAAAGAUGUUUGUGACACAAUUUUUUUAUAUUUUCUGCCACAUUGGGAAAAUUGUGCUGAUUUGUAACAUUUUGUACUUUGUUUAAUGUGAAUAUCAGUUUCAUACGAAUUAGUGUUUUAGAUGAAGUUCAUGAGAUUUAAAGUUGUCUGAAUGUAACAUGGGCAUGUUCAUCAGAAGAUGUUACUGGUUGUAAAAAUGUUCCCUGUAACAUUUAGGUGAGAUAUUAAAUUAGUUGAAAUAUGCAUUGUUGUUAAUUAUCUCUGAAUGUGUACCAUGUUGAAUCAUGUUUUUACCUUAGUCAACAACAAAAACUGAACACACAUUAUGUACAGUAAUAACUAAAGGCAGACAGCAAUAACAGUUCUCUAAAUGCUUGAUGAGAAGUGUUGGGUGAAGGGGCUUCAACCACACCAUCUAAGGUCACCACCAGGUGUUGCUAACCCCUACACACUGUAGGGCAGGUGGCUACAACCAAGUCUGAUGUGCAGGUAAGUUCAUCCUCAGAACCACAAAUGAGAAAUGUAAGAUUUAGAACAAAUUACCUAUGAUGCUCGUUUUUCCUCCAAAGAUUGAACCUUUUUUCAGGUUUGCUGACAUGGGUCCUGGCAGGAUUUCUGGGUUUGUCUCUGGUUCUGUCCUUCGUCAUUGUUUCACUCAGCAAGUUCCACCUGGGUAGGUCCUACAGGAUUUUCCUCAUCAUUUUCUAUUUCCUCUUCCUCCUCAUUGCGCUGCUGACGGAGUUUGGCAAUAUCCGAAUGGUAUGAGACCGAAAACUAAAGCCAGGUUUGAAAUAAUGUGAAACAGAGACACUGGAACUGACACUGUACUGAGUGCAGAUGAGUAAGGACGUCUUUUGCACAGCUUAUAUUAAUAUACACAUCGAUGCACUUUUCAUAGAAUAAUUAACACUUGCCUCCUACAUAGCUAUGCUGUGUUUGGAAACCAAGCAGCAAAGGAAAUGACAAUAAAACUACAUUCUCUGCUCAGUCAGAUCUGACGUUAGUCACACUGUGCCUUAAUUCAGCAUCUUCUUUGUGCUGACACGAGCUGAGAUGGUACUUUGACAGAAUAAAAUAUUGUUUGUUUCAUAAAUAUAGCUAGUAAACUCUCAAAAUGUUAAAGAAAAUAAACAUGUAUUUAUAAGCUCUGAUAAUUGCAUUUUGUCUGUGUAGGUUUUCAGUCAUUCAGGU